GGUGCUUUUGUAAUUUCUGAUUUUUUUUUUUUUUUUUUUUUUUUGGGAGGAGUGCAACUUCCUGUAAUUCCAGGUUGUGUCGUGUACAACAUUUUUUCAGCAGACUCAUCAUGUCACAGAAGUGAUCUGCCCUGCGUCAAAGAUGAUGUCUGAGAUUGAGGCUUCAGUUGACAAAGAGGCUAACGGGUGAUCCCCUCCGAGGCAGACUCAUUUCUGGUCCUUUGUGGAUUCACACCACCAAUCAUCCAAAAGAUAAGCUGGCGCCACAGCCUGGAGAUGGGAGUGGGGGCCUCCUUCUGCACCCGACUGCAAUUUGCAUCCCCAGAUAUGUGCAAGAUAAGUCAAGGGCUGCAACCCACAGAGGGGAUGGAAAAGAGGUGCCAGGUCGGGAAUCCCCAGGAGAGGUUUUUGAGCCCGUUUUGGAGAUGGGGAUGUCCAAGAAGCGUCUCCUUAGGCCACCUAAAGGGAAAGUGUCUAUUUUGAUCUCAGUGCUGAGGUGCGCAGGGCAGAGCAGUUCCGGUGUGUGUCCUGUCACUUGUCUCUGGUGCAUUCUGUGUUCAUUGGGACUCUCGGUCCUUGCAGGCAUUCUUGUUGUCAAAAGCUCUCAUUCCCUGUCAUGUCCCCUGGUUUGUCACAUCCUGUCCUGUGUCACGGGUGUCUGCACAUUUAUCCUGGUGCUGCUCUGCCCUGCUGCAUAGCCUGUAAUAGCACAAGUCCUGGGGACUUGAAAUUUGUAUUGGGAGAUUGCCAUAACAUUUUUGGUGCUGUUAAGUUGUCCUGCAGCCGUUUGACACUAGUUCUAACUUCCUUUCAGAUGCAGACAGUUCAAAUCGGUGGCAGAGGGCACCAGCCCUGGGUGAUGAUCUUCCCAUGAGCAGGAGGUCCAGACAGAUAGCAGCAGUCAAGGCCCAGGGUGCCAGGGAAUCCACUUGGAGUAUGCCUAGCAGCUGUCACCAACCGGCUGAUGGCCCGGGUUUCCUGUGCUUGUGAACCCUCUGGAAGCAUUACAGGACUCUGUGAUGAAGCCUUGAAAUUUUGUAUUUCAAGAUGGCAUCGGGGUAGCCUUUGGCAGUGGCCAAGGAGGCAGACCCUACAAUGACGGUGGCAGCCUCUGAGCAUGGCCAAAGUGUGCAGCCCGAGCAACUGGGCAUUCUUAGGAGAAUGCUGAGCAAGGGAACACAGCCCCGUGACCACAGGACCUUCCCAGCAGGCGAGGCAGCCUUCUCAACCCCAGAUGCUGGAGAGAUAAGUCAAGGGCUAAGGCCCACAGAGGGGAAUCAGCUUUGUGGGCGGGGAUGUGCAAGAAGUGCCCCUCUAGGCCACUUAAAGGGAAAGUGUCUGUUUAGAUCACAGUGCUGAGGUGCACAGGGCAGAGCAGUUCCGGUGUGUGUCCCGUCACUUGUCUCUGGUGCGUUCUGUGUUCUUUGGGUCUCUCGGUCCUUGCAGACAUUGUUCUCAUCUAAAGCUCUCUCUCCCUCUCCUGUCCCCUGGUUUGUCACGUCCUGUGUGUUGUCACGGGUGUGUGCCCACAUUUGUCCCACAACUGCUCUGCCCUGGUGCAUAGCUUGUAACAGCACAAGUUCUGGGGACUUGAAAUUUGUAUUGGGAGAUUGCCAUAACAUUUUUGGUGCUGUUAAGUUGUCCUGCAGCCGUUUGACACUAGUUCUAACUUCCUUUCAGAUGCAGACAGUUCAAAUCGGUGGCAGAGGGCACCAGCCCUGGGUGAUGAUCUUCCCAUGAGCAGGAGGUCCAGACAGAUAGCAGCAGUCAAGGCCCAGGGUGCCAGGGAAUCCACUUGGAGUAUGCCUAGCAGCUGUCACCAACCGGCUGAUGGCCCGGGUUUCCUGUGCUUGUGAACCCUCUGGAAGCAUUACAGGACUCUGUGAUGAAGCCUUGAAAUUUUGUAUUUCAAGAUGGCAUCGGGGUAGCCUUUGGCAGUGGCCAAGGAGGCAGACCCUACAAUGACGGUGGCAGCCUCUGAGCAUGGCCAAAGUGUGCAGCCCGAGCAACUGGGCAUUCUUAGGAGAAUGCUGAGCAAGGGAACACAGCCCCGUGACCACAGGACCUUCCCAGCAGGCGAGGCAGCCUUCUCAACCCCAGAUGCUGGAGAGAUAAGUCAAGGGCUAAGGCCCACAGAGGGGAAUCAGCUUUGUGGGCGGGGAUGUGCAAGAAGUGCCCCUCUAGGCCACUUAAAGGGAAAGUGUCUGUUUAGAUCACAGUGCUGAGGUGCACAGGGCAGAGCAGUUCCGGUGUGUGUCCCGUCACUUGUCUCUGGUGCGUUCUGUGUUCUUUGGGUCUCUCGGUCCUUGCAGACGUUGUUCUCAUCUAAAGCUCUCUCUCCCUCUCCUGUCCCCUGGUUUGUCACGUCCUGUGUGUUGUCACGGGUGUGUGCCCACAUUUGUCCCACAACUGCUCUGCCCUGGUGCAUAGCUUGUAACAGCACAAGUUCUGGGGACUUGAAAUUUGUAUUGGGAGAUUGCCAUAACAUUUUUGGUGCUGUUAAGUUGUCCUGCAGCCGUUUGACACUAGUUCUAACUUCCUUUCAGAUGCAGACAGUUCAAAUCGGUGGCAGAGGGCACCAGCCCUGGGUGAUGAUCUUCCCAUGAGCAGGAGGUCCAGACAGAUAGCAGCAGUCAAGGCCCAGGGUGCCAGGGAAUCCACUUGGAGUAUGCCUAGCAGCUGUCACCAACCGGCUGAUGGCCCGGGUUUCCUGUGCUUGUGAACCCUCUGGAAGCAUUACAGGACUCUGUGAUGAAGCCUUGAAAUUUUGUAUUUCAAGAUGGCAUCGGGGUAGCCUUUGGCAGUGGCCAAGGAGGCAGACCCUACAAUGACGGUGGCAGCCUCUGAGCAUGGCCAAAGUGUGCAGCCCGAGCAACUGGGCAUUCUUAGGAGAAUGCUGAGCAAGGGAACACAGCCCCGUGACCACAGGACCUUCCCAGCAGGCGAGGCAGCCUUCUCAACCCCAGAUGCUGGAGAGAUAAGUCAAGGGCUAAGGCCCACAGAGGGGAAUCAGCUUUGUGGGCGGGGAUGUGCAAGAAGUGCCCCUCUAGGCCACUUAAAGGGAAAGUGUCUGUUUAGAUCACAGUGCUGAGGUGCACAGGGCAGAGCAGUUCCGGUGUGUGUCCCGUCACUUGUCUCUGGUGCGUUCUGUGUUCUUUGGGUCUCUCGGUCCUUGCAGACGUUGUUCUCAUCUAAAGCUCUCUCUCCCUCUCCUGUCCCCUGGUUUGUCACGUCCUGUGUGUUGUCACGGGUGUGUGCCCACAUUUGUCCCACAACUGCUCUGCCCUGGUGCAUAGCUUGUAACAGCACAAGUUCUGGGGACUUGAAAUUUGUAUUGGGAGAUUGCCAUAACAUUUUUGGUGCUGUUAAGUUGUCCUGCAGCCGUUUGACACUAGUUCUAACUUCCUUUCAGAUGCAGACAGUUCAAAUCGGUGGCAGAGGGCACCAGCCCUGGGUGAUGAUCUUCCCAUGAGCAGGAGGUCCAGACAGAUAGCAGCAGUCAAGGCCCAGGGUGCCAGGGAAUCCACUUGGAGUAUGCCUAGCAGCUGUCACCAACCGGCUGAUGGCCCGGGUUUCCUGUGCUUGUGAACCCUCUGGAAGCAUUACAGGACUCUGUGAUGAAGCCUUGAAAUUUUGUAUUUCAAGAUGGCAUCGGGGUAGCCUUUGGCAGUGGCCAAGGAGGCAGACCCUACAAUGACGGUGGCAGCCUCUGAGCAUGGCCAAAGUGUGCAGCCCGAGCAACUGGGCAUUCUUAGGAGAAUGCUGAGCAAGGGAACACAGCCCCGUGACCACAGGACCUUCCCAGCAGGCGAGGCAGCCUUCUCAACCCCAGAUGCUGGAGAGAUAAGUCAAGGGCUAAGGCCCACAGAGGGGAAUCAGCUUUGUGGGCGGGGAUGUGCAAGAAGUGCCCCUCUAGGCCACUUAAAGGGAAAGUGUCUGUUUAGAUCACAGUGCUGAGGUGCACAGGGCAGAGCAGUUCCGGUGUGUGUCCCGUCACUUGUCUCUGGUGCGUUCUGUGUUCUUUGGGUCUCUCGGUCCUUGCAGACGUUGUUCUCAUCUAAAGCUCUCUCUCCCUCUCCUGUCCCCUGGUUUGUCACGUCCUGUGUGUUGUCACGGGUGUGUGCCCACAUUUGUCCCACAACUGCUCUGCCCUGGUGCAUAGCUUGUAACAGCACAAGUUCUGGGGACUUGAAAUUUGUAUUGGGAGAUUGCCAUAACAUUUUUGGUGCUGUUAAGUUGUCCUGCAGCCGUUUGACACUAGUUCUAACUUCCUUUCAGAUGCAGACAGUUCAAAUCGGUGGCAGAGGGCACCAGCCCUGGGUGAUGAUCUUCCCAUGAGCAGGAGGUCCAGACAGAUAGCAGCAGUCAAGGCCCAGGGUGCCAGGGAAUCCACUUGGAGUAUGCCUAGCAGCUGUCACCAACCGGCUGAUGGCCCGGGUUUCCUGUGCUUGUGAACCCUCUGGAAGCAUUACAGGACUCUGUGAUGAAGCCUUGAAAUUUUGUAUUUCAAGAUGGCAUCGGGGAAGCCUUUGGCAGUGGCCAAGGAGGCAGACCCUACAAUGACGGUGGCAGCCUCUGAGCAUGGCCAAAGUGUGCAGCCCGAGCAACUGGGCAUUCUUAGGAGAAUGCUGAGCAAGGGAACACAGCCCCGUGACCACAGGACCUUCCCAGCAGGCGAGGCAGCCUUCUCAACCCCAGAUGCUGGAGAGAUAAGUCAAGGGCUAAGGCCCACAGAGGGGAAUCAGCUUUGUGGGCGGGGAUGUGCAAGAAGUGCCCCUCUAGGCCACUUAAAGGGAAAGUGUCUGUUUAGAUCACAGUGCUGAGGUGCACAGGGCAGAGCAGUUCCGGUGUGUGUCCCGUCACUUGUCUCUGGUGCGUUCUGUGUUCUUUGGGUCUCUCGGUCCUUGCAGACGUUGUUCUCAUCUAAAGCUCUCUCUCCCUCUCCUGUCCCCUGGUUUGUCACGUCCUGUGUGUUGUCACGGGUGUGUGCCCACAUUUGUCCCACAACUGCUCUGCCCUGGUGCAUAGCUUGUAACAGCACAAGUUCUGGGGACUUGAAAUUUGUAUUGGGAGAUUGCCAUAACAUUUUUGGUGCUGUUAAGUUGUCCUGCAGCCGUUUGACACUAGUUCUAACUUCCUUUCAGAUGCAGACAGUUCAAAUCGGUGGCAGAGGGCACCAGCCCUGGGUGAUGAUCUUCCCAUGAGCAGGAGGUCCAGACAGAUAGCAGCAGUCAAGGCCCAGGGUGCCAGGGAAUCCACUUGGAGUAUGCCUAGCAGCUGUCACCAACCGGCUGAUGGCCCGGGUUUCCUGUGCUUGUGAACCCUCUGGAAGCAUUACAGGACUCUGUGAUGAAGCCUUGAAAUUUUGUAUUUCAAGAUGGCAUCGGGGUAGCCUUUGGCAGUGGCCAAGGAGGCAGACCCUACAAUGACGGUGGCAGCCUCUGAGCAUGGCCAAAGUGUGCAGCCCGAGCAACUGGGCAUUCUUAGGAGAAUGCUGAGCAAGGGAACACAGCCCCGUGACCACAGGACCUUCCCAGCAGGCGAGGCAGCCUUCUCAACCCCAGAUGCUGGAGAGAUAAGUCAAGGGCUAAGGCCCACAGAGGGGAAUCAGCUUUGUGGGCGGGGAUGUGCAAGAAGUGCCCCUCUAGGCCACUUAAAGGGAAAGUGUCUGUUUAGAUCACAGUGCUGAGGUGCACAGGGCAGAGCAGUUCCGGUGUGUGUCCCGUCACUUGUCUCUGGUGCGUUCUGUGUUCUUUGGGUCUCUCGGUCCUUGCAGACGUUGUUCUCAUCUAAAGCUCUCUCUCCCUCUCCUGUCCCCUGGUUUGUCACGUCCUGUCUGUUGUCACGGGUGUGUGCCCACAUUUGUCCCACAACUGCUCUGCCCUGGUGCAUAGCCUGUAACAGCACAAGUUCUGGGGACUUGAAAUUUGUAUUGGGAGAUUGCCAUAACAUUUUUGGUGCUGUUAAGUUGUCCUGCAGCCGUUUGACACUAGUUCUAACUUCCUUUCAGAUGCAGACAGUUCAAAUCGGUGGCAGAGGGCACCAGCCCUGGGUGAUGAUCUUCCCAUGAGCAGGAGGUCCAGACAGAUAGCAGCAGUCAAGGCCCAGGGUGCCAGGGAAUCCACUUGGAGUAUGCCUAGCAGCUGUCACCAACCGGCUGAUGGCCCGGGUUUCCUGUGCUUGUGAACCCUCUGGAAGCAUUACAGGACUCUGUGAUGAAGCCUUGAAAUUUUGUAUUUCAAGAUGGCAUCGGGGAAGCCUUUGGCAGUGGCCAAGGAGGCAGACCCUACAAUGACGGUGGCAGCCUCUGAGCAUGGCCAAAGUGUGCAGCCCGAGCAACUGGGCAUUCUUAGGAGAAUGCUGAGCAAGGGAACACAGCCCCGUGACCACAGGACCUUCCCAGCAGGCGAGGCAGCCUUCUCAACCCCAGAUGCUGGAGAGAUAAGUCAAGGGCUAAGGCCCACAGAGGGGAAUCAGCUUUGUGGGCGGGGAUGUGCAAGAAGUGCCCCUCUAGGCCACUUAAAGGGAAAGUGUCUGUUUAGAUCACAGUGCUGAGGUGCACAGGGCAGAGCAGUUCCGGUGUGUGUCCCGUCACUUGUCUCUGGUGCGUUCUGUGUUCUUUGGGUCUCUCGGUCCUUGCAGACGUUGUUCUCAUCUAAAGCUCUCUCUCCCUCUCCUGUCCCCUGGUUUGUCACGUCCUGUGUGUUGUCACGGGUGUGUGCCCACAUUUGUCCCACAACUGCUCUGCCCUGGUGCAUAGCUUGUAACAGCACAAGUUCUGGGGACUUGAAAUUUGUAUUGGGAGAUUGCCAUAACAUUUUUGGUGCUGUUAAGUUGUCCUGCAGCCGUUUGACACUAGUUCUAACUUCCUUUCAGAUGCAGACAGUUCAAAUCGGUGGCAGAGGGCACCAGCCCUGGGUGAUGAUCUUCCCAUGAGCAGGAGGUCCAGACAGAUAGCAGCAGUCAAGGCCCAGGGUGCCAGGGAAUCCACUUGGAGUAUGCCUAGCAGCUGUCACCAACCGGCUGAUGGCCCGGGUUUCCUGUGCUUGUGAACCCUCUGGAAGCAUUACAGGACUCUGUGAUGAAGCCUUGAAAUUUUGUAUUUCAAGAUGGCAUCGGGGUAGCCUUUGGCAGUGGCCAAGGAGGCAGACCCUACAAUGACGGUGGCAGCCUCUGAGCAUGGCCAAAGUGUGCAGCCCGAGCAACUGGGCAUUCUUAGGAGAAUGCUGAGCAAGGGAACACAGCCCCGUGACCACAGGACCUUCCCAGCAGGCGAGGCAGCCUUCUCAACCCCAGAUGCUGGAGAGAUAAGUCAAGGGCUAAGGCCCACAGAGGGGAAUCAGCUUUGUGGGCGGGGAUGUGCAAGAAGUGCCCCUCUAGGCCACUUAAAGGGAAAGUGUCUGUUUAGAUCACAGUGCUGAGGUGCACAGGGCAGAGCAGUUCCGGUGUGUGUCCCGUCACUUGUCUCUGGUGCGUUCUGUGUUCUUUGGGUCUCUCGGUCCUUGCAGACGUUGUUCUCAUCUAAAGCUCUCUCUCCCUCUCCUGUCCCCUGGUUUGUCACGUCCUGUGUGUUGUCACGGGUGUGUGCCCACAUUUGUCCCACAACUGCUCUGCCCUGGUGCAUAGCUUGUAACAGCACAAGUUCUGGGGACUUGAAAUUUGUAUUGGGAGAUUGCCAUAACAUUUUUGGUGCUGUUAAGUUGUCCUGCAGCCGUUUGACACUAGUUCUAACUUCCUUUCAGAUGCAGACAGUUCAAAUCGGUGGCAGAGGGCACCAGCCCUGGGUGAUGAUCUUCCCAUGAGCAGGAGGUCCAGACAGAUAGCAGCAGUCAAGGCCCAGGGUGCCAGGGAAUCCACUUGGAGUAUGCCUAGCAGCUGUCACCAACCGGCUGAUGGCCCGGGUUUCCUGUGCUUGUGAACCCUCUGGAAGCAUUACAGGACUCUGUGAUGAAGCCUUGAAAUUUUGUAUUUCAAGAUGGCAUCGGGGUAGCCUUUGGCAGUGGCCAAGGAGGCAGACCCUACAAUGACGGUGGCAGCCUCUGAGCAUGGCCAAAGUGUGCAGCCCGAGCAACUGGGCAUUCUUAGGAGAAUGCUGAGCAAGGGAACACAGCCCCGUGACCACAGGACCUUCCCAGCAGGCGAGGCAGCCUUCUCAACCCCAGAUGCUGGAGAGAUAAGUCAAGGGCUAAGGCCCACAGAGGGGAAUCAGCUUUGUGGGCGGGGAUGUGCAAGAAGUGCCCCUCUAGGCCACUUAAAGGGAAAGUGUCUGUUUAGAUCACAGUGCUGAGGUGCACAGGGCAGAGCAGUUCCGGUGUGUGUCCCGUCACUUGUCUCUGGUGCGUUCUGUGUUCUUUGGGUCUCUCGGUCCUUGCAGACGUUGUUCUCAUCUAAAGCUCUCUCUCCCUCUCCUGUCCCCUGGUUUGUCACGUCCUGUGUGUUGUCACGGGUGUGUGCCCACAUUUGUCCCACAACUGCUCUGCCCUGGUGCAUAGCUUGUAACAGCACAAGUUCUGGGGACUUGAAAUUUGUAUUGGGAGAUUGCCAUAACAUUUUUGGUGCUGUUAAGUUGUCCUGCAGCCGUUUGACACUAGUUCUAACUUCCUUUCAGAUGCAGACAGUUCAAAUCGGUGGCAGAGGGCACCAGCCCUGGGUGAUGAUCUUCCCAUGAGCAGGAGGUCCAGACAGAUAGCAGCAGUCAAGGCCCAGGGUGCCAGGGAAUCCACUUGGAGUAUGCCUAGCAGCUGUCACCAACCGGCUGAUGGCCCGGGUUUCCUGUGCUUGUGAACCCUCUGGAAGCAUUACAGGACUCUGUGAUGAAGCCUUGAAAUUUUGUAUUUCAAGAUGGCAUCGGGGAAGCCUUUGGCAGUGGCCAAGGAGGCAGACCCUACAAUGACGGUGGCAGCCUCUGAGCAUGGCCAAAGUGUGCAGCCCGAGCAACUGGGCAUUCUUAGGAGAAUGCUGAGCAAGGGAACACAGCCCCGUGACCACAGGACCUUCCCAGCAGGCGAGGCAGCCUUCUCAACCCCAGAUGCUGGAGAGAUAAGUCAAGGGCUAAGGCCCACAGAGGGGAAUCAGCUUUGUGGGCGGGGAUGUGCAAGAAGUGCCCCUCUAGGCCACUUAAAGGGAAAGUGUCUGUUUAGAUCACAGUGCUGAGGUGCACAGGGCAGAGCAGUUCCGGUGUGUGUCCCGUCACUUGUCUCUGGUGCGUUCUGUGUUCUUUGGGUCUCUCGGUCCUUGCAGACGUUGUUCUCAUCUAAAGCUCUCUCUCCCUCUCCUGUCCCCUGGUUUGUCACGUCCUGUCUGUUGUCACGGGUGUGUGCCCACAUUUGUCCCACAACUGCUCUGCCCUGGUGCAUAGCUUGUAACAGCACAAGUUCUGGGGACUUGAAAUUUGUAUUGGGAGAUUGCCAUAACAUUUUUGGUGCUGUUAAGUUGUCCUGCAGCCGUUUGACACUAGUUCUAACUUCCUUUCAGAUGCAGACAGUUCAAAUCGGUGGCAGAGGGCACCAGCCCUGGGUGAUGAUCUUCCCAUGAGCAGGAGGUCCAGACAGAUAGCAGCAGUCAAGGCCCAGGGUGCCAGGGAAUCCACUUGGAGUAUGCCUAGCAGCUGUCACCAACCGGCUGAUGGCCCGGGUUUCCUGUGCUUGUGAACCCUCUGGAAGCAUUACAGGACUCUGUGAUGAAGCCUUGAAAUUUUGUAUUUCAAGAUGGCAUCGGGGUAGCCUUUGGCAGUGGCCAAGGAGGCAGACCCUACAAUGACGGUGGCAGCCUCUGAGCAUGGCCAAAGUGUGCAGCCCGAGCAACUGGGCAUUCUUAGGAGAAUGCUGAGCAAGGGAACACAGCCCCGUGACCACAGGACCUUCCCAGCAGGCGAGGCAGCCUUCUCAACCCCAGAUGCUGGAGAGAUAAGUCAAGGGCUAAGGCCCACAGAGGGGAAUCAGCUUUGUGGGCGGGGAUGUGCAAGAAGUGCCCCUCUAGGCCACUUAAAGGGAAAGUGUCUGUUUAGAUCACAGUGCUGAGGUGCACAGGGCAGAGCAGUUCCGGUGUGUGUCCCGUCACUUGUCUCUGGUGCGUUCUGUGUUCUUUGGGUCUCUCGGUCCUUGCAGACAUUGUUCUCAUCUAAAGCUCUCUCUCCCUCUCCUGUCCCCUGGUUUGUCACGUCCUGUGUGUUGUCACGGGUGUGUGCCCACAUUUGUCCCACAACUGCUCUGCCCUGGUGCAUAGCUUGUAACAGCACAAGUUCUGGGGACUUGAAAUUUGUAUUGGGAGAUUGCCAUAACAUUUUUGGUGCUGUUAAGUUGUCCUGCAGCCGUUUGACACUAGUUCUAACUUCCUUUCAGAUGCAGACAGUUCAAAUCGGUGGCAGAGGGCACCAGCCCUGGGUGAUGAUCUUCCCAUGAGCAGGAGGUCCAGACAGAUAGCAGCAGUCAAGGCCCAGGGUGCCAGGGUCCCACCCUGGUAGCCCAGAGGAAUGGACAAGGAAUUGCGGUGAGUCGGGGAGGUAGGGAGGAGGAGCGUGGGUACACUCAAGUUUCAGCAAUGCCACGUCACCCCCUCUCCACGUAACCUCUCUGUACCCGGAGAUGAUGCUGUCGGCCUCCAAGCACACCUGAGGGGUAUGACCUGGGCAUUCUGAGGAGGAUGGUGAAUAGCAGAAUUAUCAGGUUUUGGCCGAUGUGUUGUUAAGACUGUGCACUGAUGUUUGGUUUUCUUUCUCUGGGCAGACCAAGAGGUGACAGCUGGAACUUACCGGACAGGCAGACAGCCUUCUUCUGCAGCCAACAGGGAUUUGCAUCCCAGAUGCAUGCAAGAUAAGUGGAGGGUUAUGACCCACAGAGAGAUUGGAUGAGGGGUGCCAGGUUGGGACUUUCUAGAUGAGGUUUUUGUGUCUGUUUUAGAGAUGGGGAUGUCCAAGAAGCAUCCCCUUAGGUCACCUAAAGGGAAAGUGUCUGUUUUGAUCUCUGUGCUGAAGUGCACAGGGCAGAGCAGUUCUGGUGUGUGUCCUGUCACUUGUCUCUGGUGCACUCUGUGUUCUUUGGGUCUCUUGGUCCUUUCUUCUCAUCUAAAGCUCUCUCUCCCUCUCCUGUCCCCUCGUCUGUCACGUCCUGUCCCGUGUCACGGGUGUCUGCACAUAUUCAUCCCGGAGCUGCUCUGCCCUGCUGCGUAGCCUGUAACAGCACAAGUCCUGGGGACUUGAAAUUUGUAAAUGCGGGGUGUAGUUGGGCUCUAGACUGGAUUAAGAGAUUGCCAUAACAUGUUUGGUACUGUUAAGUUUUCCUGCGGUCUUUUGACACUAGUUCUAACUUCCUUUCAGAUGCAGACAGUUCAAAUCGGUGGCAGAGGGCACCAGUCCUGGGAAGCCCAGGCAGAUAGCAGCAGUCAAGGCCCAGUGUGCCAGGGAAUCCACUGCGAGUAUGCCAAGCCCCUGUCACCAGCUGGCCGAUGGACCGGGUUUCCUGCACUUAUGAGCCCUCUGGAAGUAUUACAGGACCCUGUGAUGAAGCCUACCGGUUUUGUAUUUCAAGGUCCCCUCCUAGUAGCCCAGAGGAAUGGCUGAGGAGUUGCGGUGUACCCUGUGUUGAAGGUGUCGGCCUCCAAGCACGCCUGAGGUGCGUGGCCCGAGCAUUCUUAGGAAACGACCAAGAGAGAAGAGCCUGGUGACAACUGGAAUUUCCCAGACCGGCAGGAGGCCUCCUUCUGCACCUGAUGAGGAUUUGCAUCCCCAGAUAUGUGCAAGAUAAGUCAAGGGUUACGACCCACAGAGGGGAUGGAAGAGAGGUGCCAGGUUAGGACUCCGCAGGAGGGGUUUUUGUGUCUGUUUUAGAGAUGGGGAUGUCCAAGAAGCAUCCCCUUAGGCCACCUAUAGCGCAAGUGUCUGUUUUGAUCUCUGUGCUGAGGUGCACAGGGAAGAGCAGUUCCGGUUUGUGUCCUGUCACUUGUCUCUGGUGCACCCUGUGUUCUUUGGGUCUCUCGGUCCUUUCUUCUCAUCUAAAGCUCUCUCUCCCUCUCCUGUCCCCUCGUUUGUCACGUCCUGUCCCGUGUCACGGGUGUCUGCACAUAUUCAUCCCGGAGCUGCUCUGCCCUGCUGCAUAGCCUGUAACAGCACAAGUCCUGGGGACUUGAAAUUUGUAAUGCAGGGUGUAGUUGGGCUCUAGACUGGAUUAAGAGAUUGCCAUAACAUGUUUGGUACUGUUAAGUUUUCCUGCAGCUGGUUGACACUAGUUCUAACUUCCUUUCAGAUGCCGACAGUUCAAAUCUGUGGCAGUGGGCUCCAGUCCUGGCUGAGGAACUUCCAAUGAGCAGGAGGUCCAGGCAGAUAGCAGCUGUCAAGGCCAAGUCUGCCAGGGAAUCCACUGGCAGUAUGCCGAGCCCUUGUCACCAGCUGGCUGAUGGACCAGGUUUCCUGCACUUAUGAGCCCUCUGGAAGUAUUACAGGACCCUGUGAUGAAGCCUACCGGUUUUGUAUUUCAAGGUCUUCUCCUGGUAGCCCAGAGGACUGGCCGAGGAGUUGCACUAUACCCUGCAAUGACGGCGUCAGAAUCCAAGCAGACCUGAAGUGUCCAGGCCAUGUACAUGUCCAUUUUGAUGAGAAUGACCAAGAGGUGUCACGAUCCGCUUAUAGCGGGGUGUCGUGAUGGUUCGUUAGCCGAUCCCAAAGUGCAAAAGACAAACAGCAGGGGACUAUCAGUUUAAUCACAACAGAUGCACCUUUAUUAAGGGCCAAAA
Molecule: non-coding RNA, 12726 nt
Organism: Taeniopygia guttata (zebra finch)
Lineage: Eukaryota; Metazoa; Chordata; Aves; Passeriformes; Estrildidae
Source: RefSeq, a predicted model, not a curated record